RNAcentral lists this long non-coding RNA (714 nucleotides) under Volvox carteri. RNAcentral describes it as "long non-coding RNA (VCAR_LNC004240)". The record is from RNAcentral. Lineage: Eukaryota; Viridiplantae; Chlorophyta; Chlorophyceae; Chlamydomonadales; Volvocaceae.
GCCUCCUUCGAUAAUGCGAAAGGAAUGGGUAGCAAAGAAAGAGGGAAUCAUGCUUGACAAGUAAAGCAAGCAAAAUCAUCAGGAUAAUCGGCGGCGCAAAAGGUCACAGCUUUACCAUGCGCUCAUGUGCUGAUUUCAAUCCACAGUAUUCCUCGGACUCUUCAGUGGUAACAGUUCCUGUAAUGGCUGUGACCUCUCUCCUACUGUGCCGUGAUGUAGGGCGGACAAGGUCGACCGCCGGCUGCACUGCUUGGUCGAUCCUUCUACGAAGUCGGCGGGAUUUCAAUCCAGUGCUUGUAAUUUUGUUGGACUGGGGAGGUGAAUGCAAAAGACCAAGCUCUGCUAACUUAGCUUCGUUUCUGGCUAUGCAUGUAGCACGCUCUUCCUCAAGGUCCAUCAAAGAUCGUAAUGAUAUCGCAAUAUUGCCUAUAUGAAUGACGAAUGUAAGCAGGAUGUAGUCAUUUUGGACUGAUGUAUGAAGAUGUGUACGGCGUGAUUGCAAGCGACCUGUACCAAUGAGGCAAACCGUUCAUGGAUUUUGAGGUGUAAUUUAUUACAGAAAAGGUUGCCGCAUUUGCAAGACUUAGGCAUUGUGUGAAUGUGGACGGGUCCUGCAGGCCAAGACCCCGAGUGCCUAUGCCCCGGAGGGGAAGUUGGCUAACGAAUUACUGCGAGGCCAGGAACACCAAUUGAGUUAACUAUUGCUUGUCUUUA